This 2925-nucleotide ribosomal RNA is filed under the name Escherichia coli. Its description in RNAcentral is "23S ribosomal RNA". It matches the Rfam family "Bacterial large subunit ribosomal RNA". The record is from RNAcentral. Lineage: Bacteria; Pseudomonadati; Pseudomonadota; Gammaproteobacteria; Enterobacterales; Enterobacteriaceae.
GGGUUGUGAGGUUAAGCGACUAAGCGUACACGGUGGAUGCCCUGGCAGUCAGAGGCGAUGAAGGACGUGCUAAUCUGCGAUAAGCGUCGGUAAGGUGAUAUGAACCGUUAUAACCGGCGAUUUCCGAAUGGGGAAACCCAGUGUGAUUCGUCACACUAUCAUUAACUGAAUCCAUAGGUUAAUGAGGCGAACCGGGGGAACUGAAACAUCUAAGUACCCCGAGGAAAAGAAAUCAACCGAGAUUCCCCCAGUAGCGGCGAGCGAACGGGGAGGAGCCCAGAGCCUGAAUCAGUGUGUGUGUUAGUGGAAGCGUCUGGAAAGGCGCGCGAUACAGGGUGACAGCCCCGUACACAAAAAUGCACAUAUUGUGAGCUCGAUGAGUAGGGCGGGACACGUGGUAUCCUGUCUGAAUAUGGGGGGACCAUCCUCCAAGGCUAAAUACUCCUGACUGACCGAUAGUGAACCAGUACCGUGAGGGAAAGGCGAAAAGAACCCCGGCGAGGGGAGUGAAAAAGAACCUGAAACCGUGUACGUACAAGCAGUGGGAGCCUCUUAAUGGGGUGACUGCGUACCUUUUGUAUAAUGGGUCAGCGACUUAUAUUCUGUAGCAAGGUUAACCGAAUAGGGGAGCCGAAGGGAAACCGAGUCUUAACUGGGCGUUAAGUUGCAGGGUAUAGACCCGAAACCCGGUGAUCUAGCCAUGGGCAGGUUGAAGGUUGGGUAACACUAACUGGAGGACCGAACCGACUAAUGUUGAAAAAUUAGCGGAUGACUUGUGGCUGGGGGUGAAAGGCCAAUCAAACCGGGAGAUAGCUGGUUCUCCCCGAAAGCUAUUUAGGUAGCGCCUCGUGAAUUCAUCUCCGGGGGUAGAGCACUGUUUCGGCAAGGGGGUCAUCCCGACUUACCAACCCGAUGCAAACUGCGAAUACCGGAGAAUGUUAUCACGGGAGACACACGGCGGGUGCUAACGUCCGUCGUGAAGAGGGAAACAACCCAGACCGCCAGCUAAGGUCCCAAAGUCAUGGUUAAGUGGGAAACGAUGUGGGAAGGCCCAGACAGCCAGGAUGUUGGCUUAGAAGCAGCCAUCAUUUAAAGAAAGCGUAAUAGCUCACUGGUCGAGUCGGCCUGCGCGGAAGAUGUAACGGGGCUAAACCAUGCACCGAAGCUGCGGCAGCGACACUAUGUGUUGUUGGGUAGGGGAGCGUUCUGUAAGCCUGUGAAGGUGGCCUGUGAGGGUUGCUGGAGGUAUCAGAAGUGCGAAUGCUGACAUAAGUAACGAUAAAGCGGGUGAAAAGCCCGCUCGCCGGAAGACCAAGGGUUCCUGUCCAACGUUAAUCGGGGCAGGGUGAGUCGACCCCUAAGGCGAGGCCGAAAGGCGUAGUCGAUGGGAAACAGGUUAAUAUUCCUGUACUUGGUGUUACUGCGAAGGGGGGACGGAGAAGGCUAUGUUGGCCGGGCGACGGUUGUCCCGGUUUAAGCGUGUAGGCUGGUUUUCCAGGCAAAUCCGGAAAACCAAGGCUGAGGCGUGAUGACGAGGCACUACGGUGCUGAAGUAACAAAUGCCCUGCUUCCAGGAAAAGCCUCUAAGCAUCAGGUAACAUCAAAUCGUACCCCAAACCGACACAGGUGGUCAGGUAGAGAAUACCAAGGCGCUUGAGAGAACUCGGGUGAAGGAACUAGGCAAAAUGGUGCCGUAACUUCGGGAGAAGGCACGCUGAUAUGUAGGUGAAGCGACUUGCUCGUGGAGCUGAAAUCAGUCGAAGAUACCAGCUGGCUGCAACUGUUUAUUAAAAACACAGCACUGUGCAAACACGAAAGUGGACGUAUACGGUGUGACGCCUGCCCGGUGCCGGAAGGUUAAUUGAUGGGGUUAGCGGUAACGCGAAGCUCUUGAUCGAAGCCCCGGUAAACGGCGGCCGUAACUAUAACGGUCCUAAGGUAGCGAAAUUCCUUGUCGGGUAAGUUCCGACCUGCACGAAUGGCGUAAUGAUGGCCAGGCUGUCUCCACCCGAGACUCAGUGAAAUUGAACUCGCUGUGAAGAUGCAGUGUACCCGCGGCAAGACGGAAAGACCCCGUGAACCUUUACUAUAGCUUGACACUGAACAUUGAGCCUUGAUGUGUAGGAUAGGUGGGAGGCUUUGAAGUGUGGACGCCAGUCUGCAUGGAGCCGACCUUGAAAUACCACCCUUUAAUGUUUGAUGUUCUAACGUUGGCCCCUAAUCGGGGUUGCGGACAGUGUCUGGUGGGUAGUUUGACUGGGGCGGUCUCCUCCUAAAGAGUAACGGAGGAGCACGAAGGUUGGCUAAUCCUGGUCGGACAUCAGGAGGUUAGUGCAAUGGCAUAAGCCAGCUUGACUGCGAGCGUGACGGCGCGAGCAGGUGCGAAAGCAGGUCAUAGUGAUCCGGUGGUUCUGAAUGGAAGGGCCAUCGCUCAACGGAUAAAAGGUACUCCGGGGAUAACAGGCUGAUACCGCCCAAGAGUUCAUAUCGACGGCGGUGUUUGGCACCUCGAUGUCGGCUCAUCACAUCCUGGGGCUGAAGUAGGUCCCAAGGGUAUGGCUGUUCGCCAUUUAAAGUGGUACGCGAGCUGGGUUUAGAACGUCGUGAGACAGUUCGGUCCCUAUCUGCCGUGGGCGCUGGAGAACUGAGGGGGGCUGCUCCUAGUACGAGAGGACCGGAGUGGACGCAUCACUGGUGUUCGGGUUGUCAUGCCAAUGGCACUGCCCGGUAGCUAAAUGCGGAAGAGAUAAGUGCUGAAAGCAUCUAAGCACGAAACUUGCCCCGAGAUGAGUUCUCCCUGACUCCUUGAGAGUCCUGAAGGAACGUUGAAGACGACGACGUUGAUAGGCCGGGUGUGUAAGCGCAGCGAUGCGUUGAGCUAACCGGUACUAAUGAACCGUGAGGCUUAACCUUACAACGCCGAAG